Molecule: long non-coding RNA, 6221 nt
Filed under: Triticum aestivum (bread wheat)
Lineage: Eukaryota; Viridiplantae; Streptophyta; Magnoliopsida; Poales; Poaceae
Description: long non-coding RNA (TAES_LNC015747)
Source: RNAcentral
UAGGAGAAAGGGUUGCCAUAUUAUUGUUCGCCACGACGGCGAUCGCUGGUCGCAGACUGAGGCGUCCUUUGCGAUGAUCUGUAAAUAUGAAGCUGAGUUUGGGGCUCAAGCUCACCGGUGACUGACUGCUCAUCUCAGGGAAAUGCUCAAGCUAGAUUUGGGGCAGGGUAGACUGGUUGGCUUCUGGGGUUGGGUUUGGGAACGGUAGGACAGUUGCUGUCUGUAGGUUAGCUUUAGGAUGCUCAUAUUGUACAUCCAGAUGUAAUUAUGUUUGAGUUAUUCUUGUGACCUCAAAGGGGCACACUGCUGCUUGUAUUGACUGGGCGAUCAGAUUGUGUGCAUUGGUUUGUUCUAUUGUUUAUAUAUGUAUUUUUCCCUGAACUGCUGGGGUUGGUUUAACAGUGAGAUCCUGAGCCCUCAGGUGGGUUCCCUGCUAUUUGGGCGCGCCGUAUAACUUCAUGUAAAAUGUCCUUGCACAACAGCCACAACACACACACAUAUUUAGCUACUAAAUGUGAUCAUCUCCCACCCUGAGAGGCUGGAGGUCAUUCUCAAUUGCAGCUAACUGCGGCAACCUACAAUGUGUACCGGCUGAAGUGAAACCAUCAUUCUGCAUUACGGCAACCUAUAACUGAAGUCUGUGGGCAUCAGCUCCGGGAGCGGCAUCUCAGCCGUCUGCCAUCACUUAUCCCCAUUUCCUCGGACCAUCUGCGCCACCCGCUAACUGAACUUAACCGAACCCUGCCGUGCUUCAGCUCUUCAGAGUUUUUCAGUUGCUUCACCGUGGCACUCGCGGCCAUUAGCCAGCAAUGCCCUGCGUAUGCACUACCUUGUCCUGUGAUGAACCAAGAGCGCCCUGACGAAACUGGAUGUAUUACUCCAUAGUAUUACUCCAUAUGAGCGGGACGCGGCUAAUCUGCACCCGAGCUCAUAUGCUCCCGCAUGAACAGUAAAAUUGAAAAAAAAAAAAAAUGUAAAAAUUCUAAUUUUUUUUUGAGUGAAACAUUGACAAAAGUUCUAAGUGCCUGCAAAAAUUCGUCAUGAAAUCACAUUCCUAGAAGGCGUGGCAAAAAAAACAAAAAAUGUACUCUGAAAAAGCUACUUUCAAACGCAUUUUGAAGCACUGAAUUUGUUUUUUUUGCCACGCCUUCUAGGGAUGUGAUUUCAUGACGAAUUUUUGCAGGCACUUAGAACUUUUGUCAAUGUUUGUCUCAAAAAAAAUUUGGAAUUUUUUGAAUUUUUUUCGAUUUUUUUUCGAUUUUACUGUUCAUGCGGGAGCAUAUGAGCUCGGGUGAAGAAUGGACUUUUCGAUAUGAGCGCGCAUUCAAGGUUCUCCUGAGAGCAGAAUUACAGUAACAAAAAUAAACAGUAAAAGCGUUUUCCACCAGAUAACAAAUUAAGGACGAUAUCGGGGAUCAUUUAAUCCUAAAUCAACAACCUUUAAUGGAAUUGAUCCCAAAUUUACGCACAGACGGAGAUAUAUAAGGGAACGAUGAGCCUGUGACCACAACAUACGGUUGUUGAGACAGAUUACCACUGUCAGUAGUACAGCUACACAACUUCCUUUGUUGUCUCUCCAUUCACUUGGAGUGCAAAUCACAUACAAAUUCAAGCUUGGUUUAACAGUACUAAAAUGUUCAGGUCUGGCAGUACUAGUAGUAUUUAGUAGUGGAAGCAGUACACGAUUAUUAAUUUCAGUACAUACUCCCCCUGUGAACUAAUAUAAGAGCGUUUAGAUCACUAAAGUAGUGAUCCAAACACUCCUGUAUUAGUUUACGGAGGGAGUACUUAGUAUCUAUCGUGGUACUAAUUAAUCUAGUUAGGUGCAUGUUGUAUCUACAAAAAUCACAUCUUCUGUUUUAGGAGAAGAUGUUGUACAGAUCCUUAAGCCAAAUUCCUUGAUCUGUGUGGAAUUGCUUCAACCAAAUUGCAGUAAGCACCACCUCUUGAGAAGGCCUCCUCCAAGUUGGGGCAAUCUGUGAUACCUAGUUCCUCCAGGACUGGGAGCUGCUGCAGGAGUCCCUCCGGUAGUGCCUCUAUCCUUGGGCACCCCGCCACUACCAGCCUCCUGAGUGCAAUGACUCCAUACAUUCCAUCCGUAAAUGCCGUCAAGGCAUCACACCCAUGCACAUCGAGUUCUCUCAAUUUUUUGACGUUCCCAAGAACUAUUGGCAUGGACACCAGCUUGGGACAACGACUGAUGUACAAUUUUUCAAGAGAUGCAGGCAACUUUGGUACCUCCACCAAAUUUUCACAUUCUCGAAUUAUAAGAUCCUGGAGUCGAGGAAGCAGGACAUAUUUGUCAUCAGAUAUUGUUGAUGGAAUUGAACCGGUUAAGUUGCAGCACUGGUACAACUCUAGGCCUCGAAUUUGAUUCAAGUUUCCCAAUUCUACCAUUGGCCAUUGUACUAUAUUACUGCUGCCUGAAAUACACAGCGUUUCAACAAAACCAAAAUGGUUCCAUAUAUCCCGCUGUAUUUGGGAUGGUUCAGAUGAGAAAAGACAGUCGCAACUUAUUAUACGUAGCUCCUUGAUAAAUCUGCAAGGUAUUCUUUUCAGCUCUUCUUCAAAGCGCUCUAAAUUUUCCGUCAAACCUCUGAGUGUCAGUUCCACGCGAGAGUCGCCAAGCCUCGAGAAAUGAAGGUCCGCAUGCUGCCAACCAACUGUAGGUUCCACUGAAAUGAUGCCUUUGCACUCAAGAUUAAAUUGCACAGACAAAUUAAUCACAUGGUAAAGGGGAAUGGCUCUUGCCGACUUUACAAGUAGUUGUUCAAGCAAAGGGAGCAUCUUGGGCAUGCUUUGCAGCAUUGGGCAUUCAGUAAUUUCUAGCUUCUUGAGCUGAGAGAAUGAUACAACCGCUGCUUGUCCUGGCACCUCCUCGUGCCAUCUCUCUAGCUUAGGCAUGUCGGAAAUUAUCAUGGCUUCCAACUUAGGAAAGAAAGGUGGUGGAUAAAUACAAGGUUGCCCAAUGUCUGUAUCAUCAUUACCAACACAUAUACUUUUCAAACUAGGAAAAUUAUCCAAACUCAGGUACCCGAGAGAGGGCAUCUUCCAUAAUGGUGGAAGAUCCUUGCAGUUCUUGCAGCUACUCAGAUGAAGUUCGCUGAGAUGUUCUAACUGUGUAGGGUUGUGCAUCCAUGAUGAUAAUUUUGCACCAUUAUAAUUAGAUAAUAGUAAAACUUCAAGUGCUUGGUGAGGACAAAGGGCCUCUAAUAUCUCUUCUGCAUUACUAUGUACUUAAUUUCCAAUAUCUGUAUUAUAAUGUGCAUACCAGUUGAGUGAUAAUCGUUUCAAAUUAUGCUUGGAGGAUAUACUGCCCUCUUUAGCAUUUUCUGCACUAUGCACUUUUCUCAACUCAGUCAAAGAAAGAGCACCACCAAGACUCAAAUCUUUCAGUUGAUCAAUUCCACGACCUGCAUCACUAUCAAUGACGUAACUCGUCAGUGUCUGCAGAGAAUUCAGCUGAUUGAUACCUUGUGGCAUGUACUCCAAACGAUUGCACCCAAUGAGGAAGAUGUGCCGAAGGCUGAUCAUAUAUCUCAUGCCUUCUGGUAAUUUCUUAAGUUCUUUACAACCAAUGAGCUUCAAAGUCUGCAAGCUAUACAACAUGGCAGUGGUUUCAGGCAGUGCAGAUAAACGAGAAUAAGAACAAUCUAGAUAGCGAAGAUGCUUGAAGUUUUUCAUGUCUGUUAUGAUUGACAAUGUCUUCAGUGCUCGUAGGGACAUGAAUUUUGACAUGGCCAUACUCAGAGACUUGUUCAUAUGCAGAGAAGUCUUACGCCACUCCAACCCCCUUCGGAUUAAUAUUGUGCGGGCUUGGGGAGCUAGAAUUUCCUUCAUUACUGCAAUAGUAUUGUUACUGACACAAUCAAGUGACAAAUGUUGAACCUCAUGCUGUAAUGAAUUGGUGUAUGUGGAUCCUUGCAGAAUUUCUUGACAUGGUGAAGAUUCUUCCAGAAUGAAGCAAACAUUUCUGCUUACGGAAUCAGCAAGAUCAUGCAUGAGAUCAUGCAUCUUGCAAGUAGUUACUCUGUGGAUUAAGUCAUCCUUGUCAAUCUUUACAUCUUGUAGGAAACAUCUCCAAACUAGCACAUCAAAAAUUUGGUGGCCUCUUGUUUCUGAUGCAAUAAAGUCAUUUGCCAUCCAUAUCUGGACUAACAUGUCUUUAUCCAUCAGGCUAUCUUUGGAGAAAAUAGCACAAAAGGAAAAACAUAUUUUUUCCUCCGAUGACAAGUGAUCAUAGCUUAGUUGUAGUGCAGGUACAAUCCCAGUAGUUGUGACGAUGUUAUCUUUCCAAACAUCACUAUCUAGAACAGAAAGCCACUGACUGUGAUGCUUCGAAGAGAGUAAAGCUGCCAUGGUCUUGAUAGCAAGAGGCAAUCCCUUGCACUUGUGGACAAUACUCUUAGCCAUUGAAACCAAUUCCUCUCGCUUUUCCACUCCCCUUCCAAAUGUGUUUUUGUGGAAAAGGUCCCAUGAUUGAUCCUCAUCUAGAAGUGAAAUUUGAUGUGGAGGAAGUGUGCCCAUGAUAGAAGCAACUUGACUGCUGCGGCUUGUCACAACUAUAGCACUGCCUGAGCCAGCAUGUGAGCAUAACGAAGAUCUCAUAUCGUCCCACUUUUGUCUAUCUUCGUUCCAAACAUCAUCCAACACUAGGAGGUACUUUUUCUUGCCCAACGCCUCACUAAGUUUCUUCUGCAGUGCCUCCAUCUGAGUCAGAUCACACUUCUUCAUCAUGACCACUUCUAUUACAGAUCGGAUUAUUUCUUGGAUGAUGAACUUGUCAGAGACACAAACCCAUAUGACCAACUCAAAAUGGUGGAUGACUCGGUGGUCAUUGUACACAAGUUGAGCAAGGGUGGUCUUACCAAUUCCCCCCAUACCAACAACGGGGAGCACCAUGACAUUAUUAUGGCUACUGUUGUUGUGGUCGAGCAAUAUCUUCACCACUUGUUCCCUCUCAUCUUGUCUGCCCACAAUCUCUGAUUCAUCGACAAGAGAGUGUGUUUGCGGACGAACAACGCUUGGUGCCUCAGCAUGUUGUAAGAAGUGGAAAUUAUUCAUCUCCGCGACAAGUUCACCAAUCGUUUGAAGGGCACCCUUCAACUUCCAACUCAUGUGAAGACGGAAAACAACCGGGCUAUUGAUUGUGAGGUACGUCAGCACCUGAAAUGAUAACAAAUAAAGUGAAGGCUUCCAUUUCCAAAUUAAAACCUUUUAUUGAAAAUAGAGCCUGCCGGGGUUUGACGAGGACGAACCUUGCCCGGCGUGGAGCGGGAGUGGCUCUGGGCGCCAACACGGCGGCGCAGGGCCUCGUGGCGGAAGUCGUCGAGGACGUCGUCGGCUUGGCAGGCGGCGGUCUUGAGGUCCUUGAUCCAUCGACGGACGGCGGGGUUGGUGCGGCUCUUGGCGUCGGCGUCCAGCAAGAUGCACUGGACGGCGGCGAGGUGGCGCUCCAGCUUCCGGCGGGCCUUGUCCAGCCCCCACGCCCGCAGCAGCUCGCCGACCAGCGCGUCGCCGGCCACGCUGCCCAGCAGUGGCAUCAGCAGGGAGCCCAUCUCAGCCGGUCGCCGGCGGUGGGUGGCUCAGUGGGCAGCGGUCCAGGCGAAAGUGAAUGAAUGUGCGAGAGAGCCCGUACCAAAAUUCGAGAGGACGCUUUGCUUUGGUUGAGUGCGGAGGAAAAACAGGCCAUGCUUUUGAUCGCUUUUGCUACCAGUAGUAGUACUUUAUUUGAUUUGUCUCAAAAAAAAAACUUUAUUUGAUUUGCUUGGGCGCGGAGAAAUGAGAAAAGAAGAUGUACUAGUAAAUUAAGACCUGGGAUACAACUUUGCGUGUAAAUUAAGGAGCGAGGGAAGAAAAUCGGGCACUGCCGGCCGCUCACCGGAGUCGGGGCGCUGGUUGAUACAAAUUGUUACGGUGAUCGAUCGCUGACCGCAGGCUGCGGCGUCCAUUGCGUUGAUCUGUAAAGUAUGAAGCUAAGUUGGGGCUCAAGGUCGACUAUUCAUCUCAGGGAAAUGCUCAAGCUAGAUUUGGGGCAGGGUAGACUGGUUGGCUUCUGGGGUUGGGUUUGGGAACGGUAGGACAGUUGCUGUAGGUUAGCUUUAGGAUGCUCAUAUUGUACAUCCAGAUGUAAUUAUGUUUGAGUUAUUCUUGUGACCUCAAAGGGGCACACUGCUGCUUGUAUUGACUGGGCGAUCAGAUUGUGAGUGGGGUGUGUGUGU